AGUGAACGCUGGCGGUAGGCCUAACACAUGCAAGUCGAACGGCAGCACAGUAAGAGCUUGCUCUUACGGGUGGCGAGUGGCGGACGGGUGAGGAAUACAUCGGAAUCUACUUUUUCGUGGGGGAUAACGUAGGGAAACUUACGCUAAUACCGCAUACGACCUACGGGUGAAAGCAGGGGAUCUUCGGACCUUGCGCGAUUGAAUGAGCCGAUGUCGGAUUAGCUAGUUGGCGGGGUAAAGGCCCACCAAGGCGACGAUCCGUAGCUGGUCUGAGAGGAUGGUCAGCCACACUGGAACUGAGACACGGUCCAGACUCCUACGGGGGGCAGCAGUGGGGAAUAUUGGGCAAUGGGCGCAAGCCUGAUCCAGCCAUACCGCGUGAGUGAAGAAGGCCUUCGGGUUGUAAAGCCCUUUUGUUGGGAGAGAAAAGCAGCAGGUUAAUACCCCGCUGUUCUGACGGUACCCAAAGAAUAAGCACCGGCUAACUUCGUG
Molecule: ribosomal RNA, 492 nt
Filed under: uncultured bacterium
Lineage: Bacteria
Description: partial 16S ribosomal RNA
Rfam family: Bacterial small subunit ribosomal RNA
Source: RNAcentral